RNAcentral lists this long non-coding RNA (699 nucleotides) under Brassica napus (rape). RNAcentral describes it as "long non-coding RNA (BNAP_LNC010106)". Lineage: Eukaryota; Viridiplantae; Streptophyta; Magnoliopsida; Brassicales; Brassicaceae. The record is from RNAcentral.
UCUCUAUCUUUCCGAUCAGAAUUGUCUUCUCUCAGUAUCUCUCUCUCUCUAGUCUCUCCUGAACCGUAUAGAGCAGAGAUGUCCCCUCUCUGAUCGGCGGAAAUCUCAUUAAAAGAGACUGGGCGGUUACUCAGACGCACAUAACCGCCUCCCAACCGCUCUAACCAUCCCCGCGCUCCUUUUUCCCUUCAACCGUCUAUCCGGACAGUUACUUAUUACUCCGAAACCAGUAACCACUCUCGGUUCAAUUAAGUAGUUCAGUACCUGCUCUCCCAACUUCUCCAGCAGUUCAGUAACCGGCUUAAUAACCACCCGCCAAACUGUUCGGUAACCACUCGGUAACUGCUCCCGGUAACCGCCAAGCAGUUUAUAAAUUCAGUAACCGUCAGAUAAUUGUUCCCGCCAUUUUGCUUGGCUAAUCAGUUCAUGUUCAACUCAGUAUUUGUUCCCGUCAGAACGUAUACCAGUCAGUCCACACAUUGACUACUGAUCUCGGAUGACAAGUCUAGCUGCCUUGUCUAAAUUUAGUAACCGCCAAGCAGUUUAUAAAUUCAGUAACCGUCAGAUAACUGUUCCCGCCAUUUUGCUUGGCUAAUCAGUUCAUGUUCAACUCAGUAUCUGUUCCCGUCAGAACGUAUACCAGUCAGUCCACACAUUGACUACUGAUCUCGGAUGACAAGUCCAGCUGCCUUGUCUAAA